Molecule: long non-coding RNA, 464 nt
Filed under: Mus pahari (shrew mouse)
Lineage: Eukaryota; Metazoa; Chordata; Mammalia; Rodentia; Muridae
Description: lncRNA (MGP_PahariEiJ_G0003057.1)
Source: RNAcentral
ACCCCAGUGGAUCAGGACCCCACGGAUAAGAAUGCAGAGUCCAGAUGGACUGAUGGAUGGCUUCUCUCACUGGCUCCUGUGAAGCUAUUGCGUUCUUUGCUGAAUGUCAUGGGGGGACUUGUGAAAAGAAACAUCUUCGCUGACCCCUUGCUAUGGCUCAGCCAAACUGAGGAAAGGUGGCAAGCCCACCCCCCCCCCCCCACUCCCCCACCCCCGCGCGGAUCUCGUCAAACCCACAGGCUGUCCCUGCCAGGGAGCAGCGCUUGUCUUUGCAGAGAGCUGCUUGCAGCAUAUGCUUCCUUCUGCCUGAGCUCACACAGAAGCAGAUUGCGCCAGAUUCCCUGCUGGCUAUUCUCCCCGCAGCCUGGAUUUACAAGAUGGUGCAUUAAUAGGCCCCGUGUUUGUCCCGGGCAAGGAGUUCUGUGAUGUCCAUAGGAGUUUUGAAUUAAGGGCUCUUGGGUUUU